AUGAUCAAGUUACAACCUAAGAUCUAUGACUAUAUUAUGUUAACUGUUCGUAUUUUGUUCAUUCCAUCGGUAUGCUCCCAGGUACCUGUAAUUGUGAUCUGUUUGCCAGAACCAAGGGGUCUUUCUGUGGAAACCUUCACGAGCAAUCGUCGUUUUUUGAUGGUUUUUCCGCUUUUCACAGCUGCUCUUUCCACACCCCCGGAUAUCUGGUGCCAAACCGUCGCCCCUUUCCUUAUAUAUAUCGAGUUUGCUAUCUUUGUGGCAUUGAUUGUACAAGUUCGUGAAGAGGGCUGGACGAGUAGAAUGAGGGAAAGCGGCUCGAUCGAGAAAAAAGAGGAGUAG
This 342-nucleotide ribosomal RNA is filed under the name Triticum aestivum (bread wheat). RNAcentral describes it as "partial small subunit ribosomal RNA". The record is from RNAcentral. Lineage: Eukaryota; Viridiplantae; Streptophyta; Magnoliopsida; Poales; Poaceae.